CCUACGGGAGGCAGCAGUGAGGAAUAUUGGUCAAUGGACGAGAGUCUGAACCAGCCAAGUAGCGUGAAGGAUGACGGUCCUAUGGAUUGUAAACUUCUUUUAUAAAGGAAUAAAACGAGGCACGUGUGCCUGUUUGCAUGUACUUUAAGAAUAAGGAUCGGCUAACUCCGUGCCAGCAGCCGCGGUAAUACGGAGGAUCCGAGCGUUAUCCGGAUUUAUUGGGUUUAAAGGGAGCGUAGAUGGGUUGUUAAGUCAGUUGUGAAAGUUUGCGGCUCAACCGUAAAAUUGCAAUUGAUACUGGCAGUCUUGAGUACAGUUGAGGUAGGCGGAAUUCGUGGUGUAGCGGUGAAAUGCUUAGAUAUCACGAAGAACUCCGAUUGCGAAGGCAGCUUACUAAACUGCCACUGACAUUGAUGCUCGAAAGUGUGGGUAUCAAACAGGAUUAGAUACCCCAGUAGUC
RNAcentral lists this ribosomal RNA (460 nucleotides) under uncultured bacterium. RNAcentral's name for it is "partial 16S ribosomal RNA". It matches the Rfam family "Bacterial small subunit ribosomal RNA", at positions 338 to 795 of the family's 1533-position model. The record is from RNAcentral.